RNAcentral lists this ribosomal RNA (271 nucleotides) under uncultured bacterium. RNAcentral describes it as "partial small subunit ribosomal RNA". It matches the Rfam family "Bacterial small subunit ribosomal RNA", at positions 26 to 285 of the family's 1533-position model. The record is from RNAcentral.
AGAAUCAACGCUGGCGGCGUGCCUAACACAUGCAAGUCGAACGCGAAAGUCCCGCAAGGGAUAAGUAGAGUGGCGAACGGGUGAGUAACACGUGGGUGAUCUACCUUCGAGUGGGGGAUAACGUUCCGAAAGGAACGCUAAUACCGCAUGACGUUCUGGGUUUGAAGACCUGGAAACCAAAGCCGGGGACCGCAAGGCCUGGCGCUUGAAGAGGAGCCCGCGUCCGAUUAGCUAGUUGGCGGGUAACGGCCCACCAAGGCAACGAUCGGUA